UACGGAGGGAGCUAGCGUUGUUCGGAAUUACUGGGCGUAAAGCGCACGCAGGCGGAUUGAUAAGUCAGGGGUGAAAUCCCGGGGCUCAACCUCGGAAUUGCCUUUGAUACUGUCUGUCUUGAGUCCGGGAGAGGUGAGUGGAAUUCCUAGUGUAGAGGUGAAAUUCGUAGAUAUUAGGAAGAACACCAGUGGCGAAGGCGGCUCACUGGCCCGGUACUGACGCUCAUGUGCGAAAGCGUGGGGAGCAAACAGG
This 253-nucleotide ribosomal RNA is filed under the name uncultured bacterium. RNAcentral's name for it is "partial 16S ribosomal RNA". It matches the Rfam family "Bacterial small subunit ribosomal RNA", at positions 524 to 776 of the family's 1533-position model. The record is from RNAcentral.